GGAAUCUUCUCAUCGACCGGCAUAUUGGGCAUCACAUAGGACCGCAGCUCCACGUCUCCUCUUGGCUUUUCAAGAAUCACAACCUUAAAGAAGCUACUUUGAAAUAUCUCGAUCAGUGCUUCUCAAGAGCAUAUUGAGAGGCUUUUACCGGGAGGCUUGAGCAGCUGUUAUACAGUGCGUGACUCACCUGUGGUGACACAUUGCUCAGGUAGAAGGUGUCAUCCAUGGCUUUCUGACUC
This is a long non-coding RNA of Carassius auratus (goldfish), 239 nucleotides long. RefSeq lists it as uncharacterized. Lineage: Eukaryota; Metazoa; Chordata; Actinopteri; Cypriniformes; Cyprinidae. The transcript has 3 exons. The record is from RefSeq and is a predicted model, not a curated record.